Molecule: ribosomal RNA, 484 nt
Filed under: uncultured bacterium
Lineage: Bacteria
Description: partial 16S ribosomal RNA
Rfam family: Bacterial small subunit ribosomal RNA
Source: RNAcentral
GAUGAACGCUGGCGGCGUGCCUAAUACAUGCAAGUCGAACGAUGAUGCUGGAGCUUGCUCCAGUUGAUUAGUGGCGAACGGGUGAGUAACACGUGAGCAAUCUGCCCUUGACUCUGGGAUAACUGCGGGAAACUGUAGCUAAUACCGGAUACUUUCACCGGACGGCAUCUUUUGGUGAUGAAAGAACUUCGGUCAGGGAUGGGCUCGCGGCCGAUCAGCUUGUUGGUGAGGUAACGGCUCCCCAGGGCGACGACGGGUAACCGGCCUGAGGGGGUGACCGGUCACACUGGGACUGAGACACGGCCCAGACUCCUACGGGAGGCAGCAGUGGGGAAUAUUGCACAAUGGGCGCAAGCCUGAUGCAGCAACGCCGCGUGAGGGAUGAAGGCCUUCGGGUUGUAAACCUCUUUUAGCAGGGAAGAAGCGAAAGUGACGGUACCUGCAGAAAAAGCACCGGCUAACUACGUGCCAGCAGCCGCCGUAA